Molecule: ribosomal RNA, 197 nt
Filed under: uncultured bacterium
Lineage: Bacteria
Description: partial 16S ribosomal RNA
Rfam family: Bacterial small subunit ribosomal RNA
Source: RNAcentral
ACGCUCGACACCUACGGGAGGUAGCAGUGGGGAAUAUUGCACAAUGGGGGAAACCCUGAUGCAGCGACGCCGCGUGGAGGAAGAAGGUCUUCGGAUUGUAAACUCCUGUUGUUGGGGAAAAAGAGGAUGGUACCCAACAAGGAAGUGACGGCUAACUACGUGCCAGCAGCACGGUAAUCUGAGCGGGCUGGCAAGGC